Molecule: unclassified non-coding RNA, 254 nt
Filed under: uncultured fungus
Lineage: Eukaryota; Fungi
Description: partial contains 5.8S ribosomal RNA, internal transcribed spacer 2, and large subunit ribosomal RNA
Rfam family: 5.8S ribosomal RNA (bases 1-52)
Source: RNAcentral
AACGCACAUUGCGCCCUCUGGUAUUCCGGGGGGCAUGCCUGUUCGAGCGUCAUUACAACCCUCAAGCUCAGCUUGGUAUUGGGUGCCAUCGCCGUUAGCGGGGGUGCACCUAAAAGUUAGCGGCGAUACGGCCGGUGAUCGAGCGUAGUAAAAUUUAUUUUCGCUUAAGAGCCACCGCGACGUAGCUGCCGGACAACUAAAUUUUUUUUUCAAUGGUUGACCUCGGAUCAGGUAGGGAUACCCGCUGAACUUAA